Molecule: ribosomal RNA, 733 nt
Filed under: uncultured bacterium
Lineage: Bacteria
Description: bacterial SSU rRNA
Rfam family: Bacterial small subunit ribosomal RNA
Source: RNAcentral
GGCGGACGGGUGAGUAAUGCACAGGUAACGUGCCCCUUAGUCUGGGAUAGCCACUGGAAACGGUGAAUAACACCGGAUACUCCUUCUCACUUAAUGUGAGUCGGGAAAGUUUUUCGCUAAGGGAUCGGCCUAUGUCCUAUCAGGUAGUUGGUGAGGUAAGAGCUCACCAAGCCUAUGACGGGUAGCGGGUCUGAGAGGAUGAUCCGCCACACUGGUACUGAGACACGGACCAGACUCCUACGGGAGGCAGCAGUGGGGAAUAUUGCACAAUGGACGAAAGUCUGAUGCAGCAACGCCGCGUGGAGGAUGACACAUUUCGGUGCGUAAACUCCUUUUAUAUGAGAAGAUAAUGACGGUAUCAUAUGAAUAAGCACCGGCUAACUCCGUGCCAGCAGCCGCGGUAAUACGGAGGGUGCAAGCGUUAUUCGGAAUCACUGGGCGUAAAGGGUGCGUAGGCGGUUUGGAAAGUCAGAUGUGAAAUCCUACAGCUUAACUGUAGAACUGCAUUUGAAACUUCCAGACUAGAAUACUGAAGGGGCAGAUGGAAUUAGUGGUGUAGGGGUAAAAUCCGUAGAUAUCACUAGGAAUACCGAAAGCGAAAGCGAUCUGCUGGGAAGUUAUUGACGCUGAGGCACGAAAGCGUGGGGAGCAAACGGGAUUAGAUACCCCGGUAGUCCACGCCCUAAACGAUGAAUGCUAGUCGUCGGAAAGCUCGUCUUUUCGGUGAUGCAGU